This 376-nucleotide ribosomal RNA is filed under the name uncultured bacterium. RNAcentral's name for it is "bacterial SSU rRNA". It matches the Rfam family "Bacterial small subunit ribosomal RNA", at positions 524 to 898 of the family's 1533-position model. The record is from RNAcentral.
UACGUAGGGGGCAAGCGUUGUCCGGAAUUACUGGGCGUAAAGGGCGUGUAGGCGGUUUGUCAAGUCAGGUGUGAAAUCUUAAGGCUCAACCUUAGGACUGCGUCUGAAACUGGCAAGCUUGAGGGCAGGAGAGGAGAGCGGAAUUCCCAGUGUAGCGGUGAAAUGCGUAGAUAUUGGGAGGAACACCAGUGGCGAAGGCGGCUCUCUGGACUGUACCUGACGCUGAGGCGCGAAAGCGUGGGGAGCAAACAGGAUUAGAUACCCUGGUAGUCCACGCCGUAAACUAUGGGUGCUAGGUGUUGGGGGUAUCGAACCCCCCAGUGCCGCAGCAAACGCAAUAAGCACCCCGCCUGGGGAGUACGGCCGCAAGGUUGAA